Long non-coding RNA from Cimex lectularius (bed bug), 673 nucleotides. RefSeq lists it as uncharacterized. The transcript is spliced from 4 exons. The record is from RefSeq and is a predicted model, not a curated record. Lineage: Eukaryota; Metazoa; Arthropoda; Insecta; Hemiptera; Cimicidae.
GUUACAUCAGUUGCCAUGCAAUCCCCUAUAUGGAGAAAAACAAGGAAAUUUUGCAUGAAAUUAACUCCUUCUUUUUAAAUUACAUAUCUUAGAAAAUGCUAUAUGAGUUCUGAGCCUUCUCUAGAGUAUACACCAUAAAUGAUUUGGUUAAAACCAGGAUAACGGCUGUUUGCCAAAGAACAUUGGUUGCAGAAAUAGUUACUGUUCAGACUAUAACACACAUCAUUCCAGUUAGCCAUGAAGGGUUAAGACUUAUGAAAAAGAGAAAUUGACAGUAUUUUGAGCUUUUUGGAAUUUUUGGAAAAAGGCUUGGAAUGACAUGGCAUUUUGAACAAGGUCCUAAUAAGAUCAGCUGCUUUCCUGACUUUAAAUAUUUAUGAGUUAUGCGUAAGAGCUCAUACUGCACUUCAGGUUCUUUCACACAUACAGGAGGAGGUUGGCACAAAUCUAUAACAGGAAUGACUGGUUUUACAUCUGAAGAAUAUUCUUUCUCAGUUAGUCUCAAUAAAAGUGAAUUCCCAAGUCUCGAUCCCAAAAAUAAAAACUUAUCUUCACACAGGCACAUCUAAAACAAACAAUCCAAAGUUGUUAAGACGCUGGCUGCAGCUUUCUGAAAAUGAAAACUACGCACACUCCUCAUACUAUCGGCAUGAAGUGUCAAUACGUAUAAUUC